Molecule: unclassified non-coding RNA, 277 nt
Filed under: uncultured fungus
Lineage: Eukaryota; Fungi
Description: sequence contains ITS1
Source: RNAcentral
GUAUAGAUUUUUUUUAAAGGCAAUUGAAGCCCAUUAAUGACAUUCAAUAGACAUACAAAUAGGGGUAUAUAUAAAAACAUAGACUAGAAAGUGUAAGGAAAGCUGGCUUGCGCCCAACAGUCCUCAGACCGAGUUUUACUCGAAAGGUAUCCAUGUCUACAAAAGGGUGCACAGGUGAUUAAAAAGUUGGUGUUAGGUGUGCACAUGCCCCGGAAGGCCAGCUACAACCCAACCAAGCUAUUCAAUAAUGAUCCUUCCGCAGGUUCACCUACGGAAA